UCCCUCACCGUUCCAGGUGCGAGGAGGACGACCAUCCCCGAAAGAGGAGGACCGGUCUUCGGUCAAGGGUAUAAGAGUAGCUGAGCUCCCCUGCUAGAACCUCCAAACAAGCUCUCCAUCCUGUAUUCUUUACAGUUUGCUAUACCAGAUCACUGUGCUCAGC
Molecule: small RNA, 163 nt
Filed under: Dipodomys ordii (Ord's kangaroo rat)
Lineage: Eukaryota; Metazoa; Chordata; Mammalia; Rodentia; Heteromyidae
Description: 7SK RNA (ENSDORG00000020639.2)
Rfam family: 7SK RNA
About the family: 7SK was discovered as an abundant small nuclear RNA in the mid-70s but a possible function has only recently been suggested. Two independent studies have found that 7SK RNA binds the CDK9/cyclin T complex (known as elongation factor P-TEFb).
Source: RNAcentral